UAAAGGUUAGUUUAUGAAAAACCUUGGUUUGUGGGUCCAAAAAUAAUCCUAAGGAUUACCUUUAU
This 65-nucleotide transfer RNA is filed under the name Goniobranchus leopardus. RNAcentral's name for it is "tRNA-His". Lineage: Eukaryota; Metazoa; Mollusca; Gastropoda; Nudibranchia; Chromodorididae. The record is from RNAcentral.